This is a non-coding RNA of Myodes glareolus (Bank vole), 164 nucleotides long. The record is from RefSeq and is a predicted model, not a curated record. NCBI's taxonomy places the organism in Eukaryota, Metazoa, Chordata, Mammalia, Rodentia, Cricetidae.
AGACCACUGAAGAGGCAGGAUGUAAUCUGCCUGGCUGUGAAAGCCAAGACCAGAUCUCAUGUUUUGUCUCCAAACUAUACCGUGAAUUAGGAACAGAGAUGCAACUGGAGGCCAGAGCAGCAACAGCAGCAACAACAACAAAAACAACAGCAAUAGCAACAACA